RNAcentral lists this ribosomal RNA (328 nucleotides) under uncultured eukaryote. RNAcentral describes it as "partial 18S ribosomal RNA". It matches the Rfam family "Eukaryotic small subunit ribosomal RNA", at positions 1470 to 1795 of the family's 1831-position model. The record is from RNAcentral.
CCCUUAGAUGUCCUGGGCCGCACGCGCGCUACACUGAGUGUCUGAGAUACGAGUCUGCCUGGUCCGGCAAGGUCUAGGUAAUCGCUAAAAGACACAUCAUGCUUGGGAUAGAUUAUUGCAAAUAUUAAUCUUGAACGAGGAAUUCCUAGUAAGCGCAAGUCAACAGCUUGCGUUUAUUACGUCCCUGCCCUUUGUACACACCGCCCGUCGCUACUACUGAUUGGAUGUUUAAGCGAGGUUCUCGAACUGCUAGCGACUUAGCUUCGGUGAGGUCGCAGUGUGGGAAGUGAACCUAGCUUUGGUGUCUAGAGGAAGUAAAAGUCGUAAC